GAGCUGGGGCCUCCCAGGAGCAGGGAUGAAAGAGUAGCUACCCAAGAGCAGCUGGUACACAGAGAGGCCGGUGCAAAGCAGGGCUGGGGCUGGAGGCCUUGAGACCAUGGGGAGGGCGGGGCUGUCUGCAGAGAGAAGGAGCCAGAGCCAGGCGGGCCUAGGGUUUGGGCCUGGGAUGCCGCUGAGUCACUGACCCAUGUGCUGAGGACUGGACAGUCCAGCCCUUGGCUCUGAGCCGGAGUACAGCGCACUGUGGGUUGCACUAGAUGGCGAGCCCCAUGAGAACAGGUAUCUUCUUGCUGGCUGCUGAAUGCAGGACACCGAGCACAGUACAAAUGGUGCAGGAAGGAAACAAGGGAAGGAGGCAGCAAGGUUUCUCUGCCUCAGCCAGCAACGCCUCACGGACCUAGCUGCCAAGCUAAAACCCUCCUGACCCCCCUCCACUCCUCUCUUCCUCUCAUGGCCCUCCCUGAAGGCUGUACUCUCCAAAUGGAUCUAGAGGAGAACGGAAGUCCCCCGUGUCUGUGGCCUGUGUCUCUGCUGGCCUCUCCUGCUGUGUCCCUCAAAGGGUGCCUGGCACAGGAUCAAU
This is a long non-coding RNA of Fukomys damarensis (Damara mole-rat), 589 nucleotides long. RefSeq lists it as uncharacterized. The transcript is spliced from 3 exons. NCBI's taxonomy places the organism in Eukaryota, Metazoa, Chordata, Mammalia, Rodentia, Bathyergidae. The record is from RefSeq and is a predicted model, not a curated record.